CCUACGGGAGGCAGCAGUGGGGAAUAUUGCACAAUGGGGGAAACCCUGAUGCAGCGACGCCGCGUGAGUGAAGAAGUAUUUCGGUAUGUAAAGCUCUGUCAGCAGGGAAGAAAAUGACGGUACCUGACCAAGAAGCCCCGGCUAACUACGUGCCAGCAGCCGCGGUAAUACGUAGGGGGCAAGCGUUAUCCGGAUUUACUGGGUGUAAAGGGAGCGUAGACGGCAGGGCAAGUCUGGAGUGAAAGGCGGGGGCUCAACCCCCGGACUGCUCUGGAAACUGCCAGGCUGGAGUGCAGGAGAGGUAGGUGGAAUUCCUGGUGUAGCGGUGAAAUGCGUAGAUAUUAGGAAGAACCCCGAUGGCGAAGGCAGCUUACUGGACUGUAACUGACAUUGAGGCUCGAAAGCGUGGGGAGCAAACAGGAUUAGAUACCCGAGUAGUC
Molecule: ribosomal RNA, 440 nt
Filed under: uncultured bacterium
Lineage: Bacteria
Description: partial 16S ribosomal RNA
Rfam family: Bacterial small subunit ribosomal RNA
Source: RNAcentral